Molecule: ribosomal RNA, 219 nt
Filed under: uncultured bacterium
Lineage: Bacteria
Description: partial 16S ribosomal RNA
Rfam family: Bacterial small subunit ribosomal RNA
Source: RNAcentral
UACGUAGGGUGCGAGCGUUAAUCGGAAUUACUGGGCGUAAAGCGUGCGCAGGCGGUUUUGUAAGUCAGAUGUGAAAUCCCCGGGCUUAACCUGGGAACUGCAUUUGUGACUGGCGGGCUAGAGUAUGGCAGAGGGGGGUAGAAUUCCACGUGUAGCAGUGAAAUGCGUAGAGAUGUGGAGGAAUACCGAUGGCGAAGGCAGCCCCCUGGGCCCAAUGCU